AAGCUAAGCCCAUGCGUUGCUGACUCCGUCAGCGCCAUGCCCAGGCAGCUCCGGUCUUCAAGGCUGCGCCGCGGAACCUUCCGCGUAGACCGAACCAGUCCGCUUCGCAUCGCCCGCGCGGACGCCGCCGAUACCUGGCGUCGAUGC
Roseateles aquatilis is the source of this 147-nucleotide regulatory RNA element. It matches the Rfam family "radC RNA". NCBI's taxonomy places the organism in Bacteria, Pseudomonadati, Pseudomonadota, Betaproteobacteria, Burkholderiales, Sphaerotilaceae. The record is from Rfam.